AGUGGAGUUUGUACUGCCAAGCUAGAAAAUAGCAAAAAAGCAAAAUAAAAGUCUCAAAUGUCAUUCAUUUACAACUUGAGACUUUAGGUGUGUUGUGCCUAAUUUGACAUCAAUGAUGUGAAAUAUCAUUGAACAUAUGUGACCAUAAAUGAUAUUUGAAAGCUGUGAGAGGGGAGAAACAUAUGUGAACAACUUUUAUUCGGAAUGUAGCGCUGGAGUUAUAGGACUAAUUUUAUUAUAUUUUACGGUGUUUUUUUGGGCCUUCUGAAGCGUACUGGUAACCAUCCACUAGCUAUCCACAUUACAUGAAAAACACAUGAUGUUUCUCUUGUAUUUAACUGAAUAAAAUAGCCUACCAAUGUGUGGUUAGAAAAUGACGUGAAACAGAGUACAGUAAUUCAUGUUUAAAUUCUGAACUGAAUCAAUGUCAAUUGAAGCAUUUGACUUUAACUGGAAAUGACAGCAGCGUCUCCAUCUUCCCCGCUCUCCUCUCUUUAUUGCUGCACCUGUGCUUCAAUGGUGCUCUUCAAAACUCUAGAAGUGUUUCCAUCCAUACUGACUGACUGUUUGUGAGGAGAAAGUAUCAUUUUGCAAAUGUCUCUGUGUUCACACACAACUCCUGUUCUGUAAAAGUGCCAUAAUACACUCAUACACAGAAGAUAUCCGCUUUCCUGAGGCCACUGCAGGCUUCAUGUCACUCCACGGGCUCUUGGAAGAUCUCGCACAGAUAAAGUUGCUGGAACCCAUUAGAGCAUCUGUGGAUUUACAGGGCUGGAGAAACGUUCUUGCCCUCAAGACGUCCAAAAACAACAACCGCGUAGUCUGGCAGCGGUGCAGGCAGCGGGCGUUUCCCUGUCCCGCGUGAGUAGCUGCGUGCGAGUGUCUGCCGGGUAAAUUCAGGCUCCAGCCGAGGGUUGAAUACGGAAUGGAAAGCCACCUGUCCCAAUAAAGGUGUUGCGAGUUACUUGGAAUCAUCUAAACUGUAAACUUAAAGGAGAGGUCAUGAGAGGACCAAACCGAGAUUUACACUGCCUCAGUGGAACCCCUGGAAAAACAAGAUGCUUCAGUUCAUAAUGAUAAACUAUUGACUCCUCAAGAAGCAAAAUUUUAAACUGUAUCCUAAAUUGUACUGCCAUCCUAAAAAGAUAACAAUAGAGUAACAUGAUCUGUUUUCCCAGCAUUCAUUAACCUUGCAGCAUUUUGUACUAGUUGCAAGCGAGCAACAUAUGUUUGGCAGGUCCCAACAUAAAGAGCACUACAAUAAUCUAGACGGGGAAAAAUAUAGGCAUGGAUAACUUUUUCCAGGUAGCUAUAGCUGACAGAAUUGGUUUCAGUAUGCCUAUUGCCCUUAAAUAAAAGAAACCAUUAUGAAC
Molecule: long non-coding RNA, 1373 nt
Organism: Megalobrama amblycephala (Wuchang bream)
Lineage: Eukaryota; Metazoa; Chordata; Actinopteri; Cypriniformes; Xenocyprididae
Exons: 3
Source: RefSeq, a predicted model, not a curated record